Arachis duranensis is the source of this 370-nucleotide long non-coding RNA. RefSeq lists it as uncharacterized. The record is from RefSeq and is a predicted model, not a curated record. The transcript is spliced from 3 exons. Lineage: Eukaryota; Viridiplantae; Streptophyta; Magnoliopsida; Fabales; Fabaceae.
CUUCUCCAAAGUUUCUAGGAAUAAAUAUAUAAUGAUACUAAUGAUAGAGGAGUUAUAUACAUGUUCUGCAGUAAGGCAAGGUUUUUUGGCAUCUGGUUUUCCUAGCUAGCUGCAAAUAGAAACAACCCUUUUUUGCAGGAAAUAGAAGAAAAUCAAUGGAUAUAUUUGAGACAUUCCCACAAGUUAGCAUGUGGGGUGACAACUUUAAGGUUGAUGGUGGCCUCAUAAAUUCAAUCACUUCUCCAAUGUUGUUGAUGAGCACAAGCACCAUGGCCAUGGAUAACAAGCCUGAAUAUGUUCCACAUGAAUUGAGGGAACAAUCUAGACAAAAUCAAGAGGCUACCAAUAAAGAUGUUAGUAAGGUAAUGAA